Molecule: transfer RNA, 74 nt
Filed under: Roseimicrobium sp. ORNL1
Lineage: Bacteria; Pseudomonadati; Verrucomicrobiota; Verrucomicrobiia; Verrucomicrobiales; Verrucomicrobiaceae
Description: tRNA-Ile
Rfam family: tRNA
About the family: Transfer RNA (tRNA) molecules are approximately 80 nucleotides in length.
Source: RNAcentral
CCCUCUGUAGCUCAAUAGCAAAGCACCCGCCCGAUAAGCGGAAGACCGCGGCGCAAUACCGUGCGGAGGGACCA